RNAcentral lists this ribosomal RNA (1355 nucleotides) under uncultured bacterium. RNAcentral's name for it is "bacterial SSU rRNA". It matches the Rfam family "Bacterial small subunit ribosomal RNA", at positions 28 to 1381 of the family's 1533-position model. The record is from RNAcentral.
AUUGAACGCUGGCGGCAGGCUUAACACAUGCAAGUCGAACGAUGAUUAUCUAGCUUGCUAGAUAUGAUUAGUGGCGGACGGGUGAGUAACAUUUAGGAAUCUGCCUAGUAGUGGGGGAUAGCUCGGGGAAACUCGAAUUAAUACCGCAUACGACCUACGGGUGAAAGGGGGCGCAAGCUCUUGCUAUUAGAUGAGCCUAAAUCAGAUUAGCUAGUUGGUGGGGUAAAGGCCCACCAAGGCGACGAUCUGUAACUGGUCUGAGAGGAUGAUCAGUCACACCGGAACUGAGACACGGUCCGGACUCCUACGGGAGGCAGCAGUGGGGAAUAUUGGACAAUGGGGGCAACCCUGAUCCAGCCAUGCCGCGUGUGUGAAGAAGGCCUUUUGGUUGUAAAGCACUUUAAGCAGGGAGGAGAGGCUAAUGGUUAAUACCCAUUAGAUUAGACGUUACCUGCAGAAUAAGCACCGGCUAACUCUGUGCCAGCAGCCGCGGUAAUACAGAGGGUGCGAGCGUUAAUCGGAAUUACUGGGCGUAAAGCGAGUGUAGGUGGCUCAUUAAGUCACAUGUGAAAUCCCCGGGCUUAACCUGGGAACUGCAUGUGAUACUGGUGGUGCUAGAAUAUGUGAGAGGGAAGUAGAAUUCCAGGUGUAGCGGUGAAAUGCGUAGAGAUCUGGAGGAAUACCGAUGGCGAAGGCAGCUUCCUGGCAUAAUAUUGACACUGAGAUUCGAAAGCGUGGGUAGCAAACAGGAUUAGAUACCCUGGUAGUCCACGCCGUAAACGAUGUCUACUAGCCGUUGGGGUCCUUGAGACUUUAGUGGCGCAGUUAACGCGAUAAGUAGACCGCCUGGGGAGUACGGCCGCAAGGUUAAAACUCAAAUGAAUUGACGGGGGCCCGCACAAGCGGUGGAGCAUGUGGUUUAAUUCGACGCAACGCGAAGAACCUUACCUGGUCUUGACAUAGUGAGAAUCUCUCAGAGAUGAGAGAGUGCCUUCGGGAACUCACAUACAGGUGCUGCAUGGCUGUCGUCAGCUCGUGUCGUGAGAUGUUGGGUUAAGUCCCGCAACGAGCGCAACCCUUUUCCUUAUUUGCCAGCGGGUUAAGCCGGGAACUUUAAGGAUACUGCCAGUGACAAACUGGAGGAAGGCGGGGACGACGUCAAGUCAUCAUGGCCCUUACGACCAGGGCUACACACGUGCUACAAUGGUAGGUACAGAGGGUUGCUACACAGCGAUGUGAUGCUAAUCUCAAAAAGCCUAUCGUAGUCCGGAUUGGAGUCUGCAACUCGACUCCAUGAAGUCGGAAUCGCUAGUAAUCGCGGAUCAGAAUGCCGCGGUGAAUACGUUCCCGGGCCU